GAUGAACGCUGGCGGCGUGCCUAAUACAUGCAAGUCGAGCGAACGGACGAGAAGCUUGCUUCUUUGAUGUUAGCGGCGGACGGGUGAGUAACACGUGGAUAACCUACCUAUAAGUCUGGGAUAACUUCGGGAAACCGGAGCUAAUACCGGAUAAUAUUUUGAACCGCAUGGUUCAAAAGUGAAAGACGGUCUUGCUGUCUCUUAUAGAUGGUUCCGCGCUGCAUUAGCUAGUUGGUAAGGUAACGGCUUACCAAGGCAACGAUGCAUAGCCGACCUGAGAGGGUGAUCGGCCACACUGGAACUGAGACACGGUCCAGACUCCUACGGGAGGCAGCAGUAGGGAAUCUUCGGCAAUGGGCGAAAGCCUGACGGAGCAACGCCGCGUGAGUGAUGAAGGUCUUCGGAUCGUAAAACUCUGUUAUUAGGGAAGAACAUAUGUGUAAGUAACUGUGCACAUCUUGACGGUACCUAAUCAGAAAGCCACGGCUAACUACGAG
Molecule: ribosomal RNA, 497 nt
Filed under: uncultured bacterium
Lineage: Bacteria
Description: partial 16S ribosomal RNA
Rfam family: Bacterial small subunit ribosomal RNA
Source: RNAcentral